AGAGUUUGAUCCUGGCUCAGACAACGCUGGCGGCAUGCCUAACACAUGCAAGUCGAACGAGACCUUCGGGUCUAGUGGCGCACGGGUGCGUAACGCGUGGGAAUCUGCCCCUACGGUUCGGAACAACAGUUAGAAAUGACUGCUAAUACCGGAUAAUGACGAAAGUCCAAAGAUUUAUCGCCGAGGGAUGAGCCCGCGUAGGAUUAGCUUGUUGGUGGGGUAAUGGCCCACCAAGGCGACGAUCCUUAGCUGGUCUGAGAGGAUGAUCAGCCACACUGGGACUGAGACACGGCCCAGACUCCUACGGGAGGCAGCAGUGGGGAAUAUUGGACAAUGGGCGAAAGCCUGAUCCAGCAAUGCCGCGUGAGUGAUGAAGGCCUUAGGGUUGUAAAGCUCUUUUACCAGGGAUGAUAAUGACAGUACCUGGAGAAUAAGCUCCGGCUAACUCCGUG
RNAcentral lists this ribosomal RNA (452 nucleotides) under uncultured bacterium. Its description in RNAcentral is "bacterial SSU rRNA". It matches the Rfam family "Bacterial small subunit ribosomal RNA", at positions 8 to 507 of the family's 1533-position model. The record is from RNAcentral.